GACAGAGGGUGCAAACGUUGUUCGGAAUUACUGGGCGUAAAGCGAGUGUAGGCGGUUUGGUAAGUCGGAUGUGAAAGCCCCGGGCUCAACCCGGGAAGUGCACUCGAUACUGCCAAGCUAGAGUAUCGGAGAGGUUGGUGGAAUUCUCGGUGUAGAGGUGAAAUUCGUAGAUAUCGGAAGGAACAUCAGUGGCGAAAGCGACUUCCUGGACCAAUACUGACGCUCAUGUGCGAAAGCGUGGGGAGCAAACAGG
RNAcentral lists this ribosomal RNA (253 nucleotides) under uncultured bacterium. RNAcentral describes it as "partial 16S ribosomal RNA". It matches the Rfam family "Bacterial small subunit ribosomal RNA", at positions 524 to 776 of the family's 1533-position model. The record is from RNAcentral.